ACUCCUACGGGAGGCAGCAGUAAGGAAUAUUGGGCAAUGGACGCAAGUCUGACCCAGCCAUGCCGCGUGAAGGAUGAAUGUCCUAUGGAUUGUAAACUUCUUUUAUGCAGGAAAAACAUCUCGGCCGUGAACCGGGACUGAUGGUACUGUAUGAAUAAGCAUCGGCUAACUCCGUGCCAGCAGCCGCGGUAAU
Molecule: ribosomal RNA, 193 nt
Filed under: uncultured bacterium
Lineage: Bacteria
Description: partial 16S ribosomal RNA
Rfam family: Bacterial small subunit ribosomal RNA
Source: RNAcentral